This 2054-nucleotide long non-coding RNA is filed under the name Homo sapiens (human). RNAcentral's name for it is "HSALNT0392156". Lineage: Eukaryota; Metazoa; Chordata; Mammalia; Primates; Hominidae. The record is from RNAcentral.
GCAUGGGGUGGUGGGUGCAGGGCAGAUGCAGGCCCGGCCGCCCCAGCCUUGUCCCCCUACUGUCUCUGUAGUGGGUCACACUGUGGGUCACCCUCCUCCAAGGGCCCCACGUCUCGGGCAGACAGAGCAGGGGGUGAGGGGCCCCGGGGGCCGAGCCAGCUCUGACCUCCUCUGAGCACCUGCCUGCAGCCAGCCCCUCUGCCUGCCAACCACCGGCCCUCAGCAGUCCCUAUAUCCUCAAAUCCGCCCCAUCCCCCACUUGGCUAUACUGGAAGUGGGCACGCUUCUGUUACCCAAAUCCCAUCCUUCCAGCCUGAUAGGAAGGAACGCCCUGGCAGUGCUGUCUGGUCCUAGCCACAGUGACCCAGAGGCCAGGUGUCGGGGGCUGGGGCCGGUGAGGGCUCUGAGGGGCCGCCCAGUGCUCAGGAGCCAGGGCUCUGCUGCUACUGGGGCCUGAGUGGGGCUGCAGCCCCAGCCUUGGCACCUGGAACAAGGGACAGCCACACAUGUGCCUGUCUGAGUCUGGGGCAGGGCUUAUGCAGGCCGGGCCCGGCCCUUGGCGGGUGUUCAGGGCCUGAUACUACCACCCUUAGGAGUGGGGCAGGCACCGGGCAGGUUUGUGAGAACUGCACCCACAUUUCCGCCACAGCUGGAAGAGGACGUGCCAACCGGAGUCCCACCAGGGGCGGGGAUGGAGCCCUGGACACUGCGGAGGCUGAGCCUCAGUAUUCCCCAUGCCCCAGAGCUGUGCUGUCCCCCAGGCUGGGAGCUGGGGCAGAAGUCAACUCCAGCCUACAUGGGCCCAGCAGCUACCUCCAGAUGCCCCAAAACAGGUGCAAAGGGAUACCCAGCUGCUCAUGAAAAUGAAUCCCAGAUGGAGACAAAGAGCCCUGCCUGGCCCUGGCCUGGCGUGGCCGGAUGUCCCUUUCCACCUUCCUGCUCACAGAGGAGGCUGGGCUUCUGAGGCCUGAGGGGCCAGGCAGGAAGCCAUGGGCCACAAGGCACCCCUGGGCCCCCGCUCCCCGACUUCCUGCAUGGUAGAAGGCCCGUCCCGGGGCCAACUGCCUCUGCCACCACUGCCUGGAUGAGUGAGGGCAGGAGGUGGAAGGGUGAGGUGGGGCCCUGACCCUCGGGAAGAGGGGUCCUGGACUCAGUUUCCCUCCCUGUCCUGAGGCUGCUGCCUUCUAGCCAGAUCCUGGUUUCCAGGGGCCCUGUCCUGCCCAGCAGUUCCCACAGUGCUGGCUGGUUCUCAAAGGGAGACCCCAGGAGACCCCCCCCCAGGAGACACCUGGGCAGGGCAGGGGCAGCUCUGGGGGGGGGCAGCCAUAUGGUGACCCCUCCACUGCCCACAGCCACACAGCCCCUCCCCGUAACCUUCUCUGCAUUUGCUAAUGUUUUGUGACAUGAAGCCCUGAGAUUAAUUUUUUGCCUGUCUUAAUUGAAGGAACCAUUUAGUGCCGAUUUAACUAUUAUUACCAAAUCAUCAGGAUUGAUGCAGUGCGCACACGCACGCGCCAAUCGUGUUUGGAGGAGCUCGGAGGAUUUAUGCAAAUGGGCCUGCCGGGAGAGGCAAUUUGUAGCCGAGAAGGACAAUUAUACCAGGCCCGGGAGUGCGCCAACGACUGCGCCGGGCGGGUAAUGGAUAAUAACAUCGCGCCGGCAGCCGUGAGCAGCUCCACAGCGUGACCAACGACUUUAUACAGUGCAGAUAAAGAGGCCUGCACGCAACACCGCCUCACACUCCAGGGGGGCCGGGCGGGGACGAUGCCACAGCCAGGUGUGCAGAGCCGGCGUGGCUGGGCCUGGGGGCCGUGACUUCCAGAGGGGGACCCGGGCCAGGGUGGUGCUGGGAGCUGCCAGAAGGGCAAAGCCUGUCUGGAGCAGGGCUCUGUCUGCUGGUCACUCUCGAUGGUCUAGGAAGGGCAGGGCCAGGCCUUCAGAGUAGGUGUGAAGGGGCACCAGCAGCCUGGAAGCCUCAGGGGAGCCUGGACCCUGCUCCCCAGCCUCGAGGGCCCAGGGCCGGCCACACGCGCCCUGCCAUGCCAGUGCCCAGG